GGCCCCGUAGCUCAGCGGCCCAGAGCCGUCGACUCAUAAUCGAUAAGACCUCGGUUCGAAUCCGAGCGGGGCUA
RNAcentral lists this transfer RNA (74 nucleotides) under Planctomycetaceae bacterium. RNAcentral describes it as "tRNA-Met". It matches the Rfam family "tRNA". From Rfam's summary of the family: Transfer RNA (tRNA) molecules are approximately 80 nucleotides in length. Their secondary structure includes four short double-helical elements and three loops (D, anti-codon, and T loops). The record is from RNAcentral. Lineage: Bacteria; Pseudomonadati; Planctomycetota; Planctomycetia; Planctomycetales; Planctomycetaceae.